RNAcentral lists this ribosomal RNA (492 nucleotides) under uncultured bacterium. Its description in RNAcentral is "partial 16S ribosomal RNA". It matches the Rfam family "Bacterial small subunit ribosomal RNA", at positions 29 to 507 of the family's 1533-position model. The record is from RNAcentral.
AGUGAACGCUGGCGGUAGGCCUAACACAUGCAAGUCGAACGGCAGCACAGUAAGAGCUUGCUCUUACGGGUGGCGAGUGGCGGACGGGUGAGGAAUACAUCGGAAUCUACUUUUUCGUGGGGGAUAACGUAGGGAAACUUACGCUAAUACCGCAUACGACCUACGGGUGAAAGCAGGGGAUCUUCGGACCUUUCGCGAUUGAAUGAGCCGAUGUCGGAUUAGCUAGUUGGCGGGGUAAAGGCCCACCAAGGCGACGAUCCGUAGCUGGUCUGAGAGGAUGAUCAGCCACACUGGAACGGAGACACGGUCCAGACUCCUAAGGGAGGCAGCAGUGGGGAAUAUUGGACAAUGGGCGCAAGCCUGAUCCAGCCAUACCGCGUGGGUGAAGAAGGCCUUCGGGUUGUAAAGCCCUUUUGUUGGGAAAGAAAAGCAGCAGGUUAAUACCCCGCUGUUCUGACGGUACCCAAAGAAUAAGCACCGGCUAACUUCGUG